GGGGCAUUGAGAAAACCGCUAAAGCUCUGCUAAUCUUAAGUUGAUGUCGAAAGAGGAUUCACUAAAUCGGGGAUGGCACAUUUUCCAUGGAUAUGUUUGGCUGGUGGAGAACAGUGAACGAGCGAUUUUGCUGCUUUCAGUGUGGGAAACAACUAUGAAAUAGGAAAUAUGAUAGCUGAUGCCAUGAGUAAAGUGGGAAGGGAGGAAGGAAACAGUUCUGACAAUAACUUGUAUGUUGCGGAAGGGAUGCAGUUUGCCCCAGAUUAUAUUUCUCCUAACUUUGUUACAGACUGAGAAAUUAGCAAUUAAAUAUGAAAAUUUUAAGUUGCUUCUGGCUGACAUAAAGAUAACAAAUGCAAGCGAUCUUAUUUAUAUUCUGGAAAAUGCUAUUCAAGGCAGCCACCCCAUUUGUGAUUAUUGCUGAAGACAAUGAGCAGGAAACUCGUGCUACUCUUGUUGCGAACAAGGUCAGAGGAUCAUUAAAGAUUGCUGCACUUAAAGCCCCUGGAUUUGAAGAGCGCAAAAGCCAAUAUCCUGUAGGACUGGUUUGGGUGAAUU
Molecule: long non-coding RNA, 558 nt
Organism: Mangifera indica (mango)
Lineage: Eukaryota; Viridiplantae; Streptophyta; Magnoliopsida; Sapindales; Anacardiaceae
Exons: 3
Source: RefSeq, a predicted model, not a curated record